This 789-nucleotide small RNA is filed under the name Pan troglodytes (chimpanzee). Its description in RNAcentral is "retained intron". The record is from RNAcentral. Lineage: Eukaryota; Metazoa; Chordata; Mammalia; Primates; Hominidae.
AUGGAGCACGCAGCCACCACAGGCCCCAGGCCUGGACCUCCCUCUCGGCGGGUGGAGAAUGUUGUGCUACGAGCCAAGGACUGGCUGCCAGGAGCUCCUGGGGGCACCGCAGUGUGGGCCACCAGCUUGGAAGCAGAGGUCCCACCAGAUCUAGCGCUCAAUAAGGAGCAGCAGCUGCAGAUCUCCAAGGAGCUGGUCGACAUUCAGAUCACAACCCACCACCUACAUGAGCAGCACGAGGCUGAAAUCUUCCAGCUGAAGAGUGAGAUCCUUCGGCUGGAGAGCCGGGUACUGGAGCUGGAGCUGCGAGGAGAUGGCACCAGCCAGGGCUGUGCAGUCCCAGUGGAGUCUGACCCCAGGCACCCCCGGGCAGCAGCCCAAGAGCUCAGACACAAAGCCCAGGUGCAGCCCAAGAACACCAUGAAUCCCGAGAAUGAGCAGCACAGGCUGGGGAGCGGCGUGAGUGUGCAGCCACCUAGCUCAGGGGAGAGGGCAGCACCAGAGACCCCAAGCCUAGGGUCUCAUCUAGCCAGCCCUGUGUGCCCCACAGCUGCAGGGGGAAGUGAAGCGGGUGCUGGAGCGUCAGGAGGCCUGGCAGCAGGCACUGGUGACGCGUGUGUGAGUGGCCAUCUCACCUGGGGCCCCAUCCUGGAGCAGAGAGAACCCCUGAUCGUGGGCCUGCUGAGCCUCACCCCCGUGUCUUCAGGGCAACCCUGGGCCGGCAGCUGCAGGGAGCCCGAGAGGAGGCCAGGGCAGCCGGGCAGCGACUGGCCACACAGGCUGUGGUGA